Molecule: ribosomal RNA, 591 nt
Filed under: Diaporthe eucalyptorum
Lineage: Eukaryota; Fungi; Ascomycota; Sordariomycetes; Diaporthales; Diaporthaceae
Description: LSU rRNA
Rfam family: Eukaryotic large subunit ribosomal RNA
Source: RNAcentral
AAGCAUAUCAAUAAGCGGAGGAAAAGAAACCAACAGGGAUUGCCCUAGUAACGGCGAGUGAAGCGGCAACAGCUCAAAUUUGAAAUCUGGCCUCGGCCCGAGUUGUAAUUUGCAGAGGAUGCUUCUGGCGCGGUGCCUUCCGAGUUCCCUGGAACGGGACGCCACAGAGGGUGAGAGCCCCGUAUGGUCGGACACCAAGCCUGUGUGAAGCUCCUUCGACGAGUCGAGUAGUUUGGGAAUGCUGCUCUAAAUGGGAGGUAAAUCUCUUCUAAAGCUAAAUACCGGCCAGAGACCGAUAGCGCACAAGUAGAGUGAUCGAAAGAUGAAAAGCACCUUGAAAAGGGGGUUAAAUAGUACGUGAAAUUGUUGAAAGGGAAGCACUUGUGACCAGACUUGGGCCGGGCGGCUCAUCAGGGGUUCUCCCCUGUGCACUCCGCCCGGCACAGGCCAGCAUCGGUUCUCGUGGGGGGAUAAGACCGUCAGGAACGUAGCACCCUCCGGGGUGUGUUAUAGCCUGGCGGACGAUACCCCCGUGGGGACCGAGGUUCGCGCUCCGCAAGGAUGCUGGCGUAAUGGUCACCAGUGACCCGU